RNAcentral lists this ribosomal RNA (484 nucleotides) under uncultured bacterium. RNAcentral's name for it is "partial 16S ribosomal RNA". It matches the Rfam family "Bacterial small subunit ribosomal RNA", at positions 30 to 507 of the family's 1533-position model. The record is from RNAcentral.
AUUGAACGCUGGCGGCAGGCCUAACACAUGCAAGUCGAGCGGAUGAAGGGAGCUUGCUCCUGGAUUCAGCGGCGGACGGGUGAGUAAUGCCUAGGAAUCUGCCUGGUAGUGGGGGAUAACGUCCGGAAACGGGCGCUAAUACCGCAUACGUCCUGAGGGAGAAAGUGGGGGAUCUUCGGACCUCACGCUAUCAGAUGAGCCUAGGUCGGAUUAGCUAGUUGGUGGGGUAAAGGCCUACCAAGGCGACGAUCCGUAACUGGUCUGAGAGGAUGAUCAGUCACACUGGAACUGAGACACGGUCCAGACUCCUACGGGAGGCAGCAGUGGGGAAUAUUGGACAAUGGGCGAAAGCCUGAUCCAGCCAUGCUGCGUGUGUGAAGAAGGUCUUCGGAUUGUAAAGCACUUUAAGUUGGGAGGAAGGGCAGUAAGUUAUUACCUUGCUGUUUUGACGUUACCAACAGAAUAAGCACCGGCUAACUUCGUG